Molecule: ribosomal RNA, 253 nt
Filed under: uncultured bacterium
Lineage: Bacteria
Description: partial 16S ribosomal RNA
Rfam family: Bacterial small subunit ribosomal RNA
Source: RNAcentral
GACAGAGGGGGCAAGCGUUGUCCGGAAUUACUGGGCGUACAGCGCGCGCAGGCGGACCGCCACGUGCCGUGUGACAAGCCACUGCUCAACAGUGGAGGGCCAGGGUACACGAGCGGUCUGGAGGCAGGGAGAGGGAUGUGGAAUGCCCGGUGGAGCGGUGAAAUGCGUAGAGAUCGGGCGGAACACCAGCGGCGAAGGCGGCAUCCUGGUCCUGUUCUGACGCUGAGGCGCGAGAGCGUGGGGAGCGAACUGG